GGAAGCUUUCGGGUGGAAGCGAGUAAUGUUUAGUGGCGAACGGGUGAGUAACACGUGAAUAACCUACCCUGGAGUGGGGGACAACAUUUGGAAACAGAUGCUAAUACCGCAUAAGACCACGGAGCCGCAUGGCUCUGAGGCCAGAGGAGCAAUUCGCUCUGGGAUGGAUUCGCGCCUGAUUAGAUAGUUGGUGGGGUAAUGGCCUACCAAGUCGACGAUCAGUAGCCGGACUGAGAGGUUGAACGGCCACAUUGGGACUGAGACACGGCCCAGACUCCUACGGGAGGCAGCAGUGAGGAAUAUUGCACAAUGGACGAAAGUCUGAUGCAGCGACGCCGCGUGAGGGAAGAAGGUUUUCGGAUUGUAAACCUCUGUCUUCGGGGACGAUAAUGACGGUACCCGAGGAGGAAGCCACGGCUAACUACGUGCCAGCAGCCGCGGUAAAACGUAGGUGGCAAGCGUUGUCCGGAAUUACUGGGUGUAAAGGGAGCGCAGGCGGAUUGGCAAGUUGAAUGUGAAAACUGGGGGCUCAACCCCCAGACUGCGUUCAAAACUGCUGAUCUUGAGUGAUGUAGAGGUAGGCGGAAUUCCCGGUGUAGCGGUGGAAUGCGUAGAUAUCGGGAGGAACACCAGUGGCGAAGGCGGCCUACUGGGCAUCAACUGACGCUGAGGCUCGAAAGUAUGGGGAGCAAACAGGAUUAGAUACCCUGGUAGUCCAUACCGU
This 724-nucleotide ribosomal RNA is filed under the name uncultured bacterium. RNAcentral describes it as "partial 16S ribosomal RNA". It matches the Rfam family "Bacterial small subunit ribosomal RNA", at positions 69 to 803 of the family's 1533-position model. The record is from RNAcentral.